Molecule: ribosomal RNA, 239 nt
Filed under: uncultured bacterium
Lineage: Bacteria
Description: partial 16S ribosomal RNA
Rfam family: Bacterial small subunit ribosomal RNA
Source: RNAcentral
CGAGUGGCGGACGGGUGAGUAAUGCUUGGGAAUCUAGCUUAUGGAGGGGGAUAACUAUGGGAAACUGUAGCUAAUACCGCGUAGAAUCGGGAGAUGAAAGUGUGGGACCUUCGGGCCACAUGCCAUAGGAUGAGCCCAAGUGGGAUUAGGUAGUUGGUGAGGUAACGGCCCACCAAGGCGACGAUCGGUAGCCGGACUGAGAGGUUGAACGGCCACAUUGGGACUGAGACACGGCCCAG